Molecule: ribosomal RNA, 330 nt
Filed under: uncultured bacterium
Lineage: Bacteria
Description: bacterial SSU rRNA
Rfam family: Bacterial small subunit ribosomal RNA
Source: RNAcentral
UGUGUAGGCGGUUGCUUAAGUUUGGUGUGAAAUCUCCCGGCUUAACUGGGAGGGUGCGCCGAAUACUGAGUGACUAGAGUGCGGGAGAGGAAAGUGGAAUUCCUGGUGUAGCGGUGAAAUGCGUAGAUAUCAGGAGGAACAUCGGUGGUGUAGACGGCUUUCUGGACCGUAACUGACGCUGAGACACGAAAGCGUGGGUAGCAAACAGGAUUAGAUACCCUGGUAGUCCACGCCCUAAACGAUGCAUAUUUGGUGUGGGUCAUUCAGUUGAUCCGUGCCAGAGCUAACGCGUUAAAUAUGCCGCCUGGGGAGUACAGUCGCAAGGCUGAA